GGUGCGCAGUAAAGAGCAGAAAGUAUUUGCGCAUAGUUUCGUUUUUGGAGUCGGCUGCCUGGCGUUUACCAUUUACCACCACGCGUCGGCGUUACUCGCUUGGGACCGUCAACUGCAAUUUAUAACGCUGUGUCGUCGCACUACUGGUGCUGAAGAGUCAUGGACUCCGUGGUUGGAGCUGUGGUUGGAGCCGGCCUGGCAGUAGUGGCUUCACCAGUUGUCCUAGGAGCUCUAGGAUUCUCGGCAGCAGGAGUAGGAGCAGGGACCCUUGCGGCUACGUGGCACAGCGCCAUCGGAGUAGUAGCUAAGGGAAGCCUGUUUUCGCUCCUUCAGAGCUUUGGAGCAGCUGGGCUACCAGCAUCUGUCCAAGCUGCAGUUGGUGCAGCGGGUGCAGCAGCGGGUGCAGCAGGCUUCCACUGAGGGAAACAAGAAAACCUACAUUAUGUAAAAGCAUUAUGAGGAAGCUCGCUCAAAUAUGCUGUGGCUGAAGUAAAGUGAAAGAGCGAUAAAAGCGA
Long non-coding RNA from Ornithodoros turicata, 515 nucleotides. RefSeq lists it as uncharacterized. The record is from RefSeq and is a predicted model, not a curated record. The transcript is spliced from 3 exons. Lineage: Eukaryota; Metazoa; Arthropoda; Arachnida; Ixodida; Argasidae.